CAAAAUGAAUGAAUAUAAAUGGAAAGAGUCAAUCCCCCAUUGAUUGAAUAGAAGAUCUCAAUUUUGUGUGUGUUUGUUGUUUUGUUUUUAUUCUUCUUUGUUU
Molecule: non-coding RNA, 103 nt
Filed under: Fragilariopsis kerguelensis
Lineage: Eukaryota; Bacillariophyta; Bacillariophyceae; Bacillariales; Bacillariaceae
Source: RNAcentral